RNAcentral lists this transfer RNA (75 nucleotides) under Candidatus Heimdallarchaeota archaeon. Its description in RNAcentral is "tRNA-Cys". It matches the Rfam family "tRNA". Rfam says of the family: Transfer RNA (tRNA) molecules are approximately 80 nucleotides in length. Their secondary structure includes four short double-helical elements and three loops (D, anti-codon, and T loops). Further hydrogen bonds mediate the characteristic L-shaped molecular structure. tRNAs have two regions of fundamental functional importance: the anti-codon, which is responsible for specific mRNA codon recognition, and the 3' end, to which the tRNAs corresponding amino acid is attached (by aminoacyl-tRNA synthetases). tRNAs cope with the degeneracy of the genetic code in two manners: having more than one tRNA (with a specific anti-codon) for a particular amino acid; and 'wobble' base-pairing, i.e. permitting non-standard base-pairing at the 3rd anti-codon position. The record is from RNAcentral. Lineage: Archaea; Promethearchaeati; Candidatus Heimdallarchaeota.
GCACAGGUAGUCUAGAGGUUGGGCGGCGGACUGCAGAUCCGCUUAACGUGAGUUCGAAUCUCACCCUGUGCUCCA